Molecule: ribosomal RNA, 885 nt
Filed under: uncultured Planctomycetia bacterium
Lineage: Bacteria; Pseudomonadati; Planctomycetota; Planctomycetia
Description: bacterial SSU rRNA
Rfam family: Bacterial small subunit ribosomal RNA
Source: RNAcentral
CAAGUCGUACGGGCCGCAAGGCCAGUGGCGCAAGGGUGAGUAAGGCGACGGUAACCAACCCUACGAUUGGGUAUAGCCGCGAGAAACUGCGGGUAAUCCCCAGCGACGUCCGAGGGGGGCAUCCCCUGCGGACCAAAGCUCUGGCGUCGUGGGACGGGCCGUCGUGGUAUUAGGUUGUUGGCGGGGUAACGGCCCACCAAGCCUGCGAUGCCUACCGGGCGUGCGAGCGCGACCCGGCACACUGGGACUGAGACACUGCCCAGACUCCUACGGGAGGCUGCAGUCGAGAAUCUUCGGCAAUGGGCGCAAGCCUGACCGAGCGACGCCGCGUGGAGGACGAAGGCCUUCGGGUUGUAAACUCCUGUCGAGGGGGAAGAAGGGUCGCAAGACCUUGACUGAACCCUGGAGGAAGCACGGGCUAAGUUCGUGCCAGCAGCCGCGGUAAGACGAACCGUGCGAACGUUAUUCGGAAUCACUGGGCUUAAAGCGCGUGUAGGCGGGACGGCACGUCGGUCGCUGAAAUCCCCCGGCUCAACCGGGGAACGGGCGCCGAUACGACCGUCCUGGAGGGACGUAGGGGGACCUGGAACUUCCAGUGGAGCGGUGAAAUGCGUUGAGAUCGGAAGGAACGCCCGUGGCGAAAGCGAGGUCCUGGACGUUUUCUGACGCUGAGACGCGAAAGCCAGGGGAGCGAACGGGAUUAGAUACCCCAGUAGUCCUGGCCGUAAACGAUGGGCACUGGGUAGGGGGCUCGCCGAUGGGCUCCCUGCCGCAGGGAAACCGUGAAGUGCCCCGCCUGGGGAGUAUGGUCGCAAGGCUGAAACUCAAAGGAAUUGACGGGGGCUCACACAAGCGGUGGAAGCAUGUGGCUUAAUUCGAGGCUAC